AAGUCAUUACCAAGGCUUUUAGAAUGAAGUUUCUCAUUUGCUGUGGACAUGACCAUAAAAACAUUCCCACUAGGUUUUCUGUCUGCUACCUUGUUAGCUGUCAACCUGCUGGGAACAUUA
Molecule: small nucleolar RNA, 120 nt
Organism: Cavia aperea (Brazilian guinea pig)
Lineage: Eukaryota; Metazoa; Chordata; Mammalia; Rodentia; Caviidae
Source: Ensembl